GACGAACGCGGCGGCGUGCUUAACACAUGCAAGUCGAACGGAGCGAAUGAAAGCUUGCUUUUAUGAGCUUAGUGGCAAACGGGUGAGUAACACGUAGACAACCUGCCGAUAGGAUGGGGACAACAUUCCGAAAGGAAUGCUAAUACCGAAUGGCGUGUAGGGGAGGCAUCUCCCGUACAUGAAAGAUGGCCUCUGAAUAUGCUAUCACCUAUCGAUGGGUCUGCGUCUGAUUAGCUAGUAGGUAAGGUAACGGCUUACCUAGGCGACGAUCAGUAGCCGGUCUGAGAGGAUGAACGGCCACAUUGGGACUGAGACACGGCCCAGACUCCUACGGGAGGCAGCAGUGGGGAAUCUUCCGCAAUGGGCGCAAGCCUGACGGAGCAACGCCGCGUGAGUGAAGAAGGUCUUCGGAUCGUAAAGCUUCUG
RNAcentral lists this ribosomal RNA (426 nucleotides) under Selenomonas sp. oral taxon E83. Its description in RNAcentral is "bacterial SSU rRNA". It matches the Rfam family "Bacterial small subunit ribosomal RNA", at positions 28 to 436 of the family's 1533-position model. Lineage: Bacteria; Bacillati; Bacillota; Negativicutes; Selenomonadales; Selenomonadaceae. The record is from RNAcentral.